GUUGAACGCUGGCGGCAGGCUUAACACAUGCAAGUCGAGCGGGGGAAGGUAGCUUGCUACCGGACCUAGCGGCGGACGGGUGAGUAAUGCUUAGGAAUCUGCCUAUUAGUGGGGGACAACAUCUCGAAAGGGAUGCUAAUACCGCAUACGUCCUACGGGAGAAAGCAGGGGAUCUUCGGACCUUGCGCUAAUAGAUGAGCCUAAGUCGGAUUAGCUAGUUGGUGGGGUAAAGGCCUACCAAGGCGACGAUCUGUAGCGGGUCUGAGAGGAUGAUCCGCCACACUGGGACUGGGACACGGCCCAGACUCCCACGGGAGGCAGCAGUGGGGAAUAUUGGACAAUGGGGGGAACCCUGAUCCAGCCAUGCCGCGUGUGUGAAGAAGGCCUUAUGGUUGUAAAGCACUUUAAGCGAGGAGGAGGCUACUCUAGUUAAUACCUAGGGAUAGUGGACGUUACUCGCAGAAUAAGCACCGGCUAACUCUGUGCCAGCCGCCGCGGUAA
RNAcentral lists this ribosomal RNA (501 nucleotides) under uncultured bacterium. Its description in RNAcentral is "partial 16S ribosomal RNA". It matches the Rfam family "Bacterial small subunit ribosomal RNA", at positions 28 to 523 of the family's 1533-position model. The record is from RNAcentral.